This 429-nucleotide ribosomal RNA is filed under the name Bacteroidota bacterium. RNAcentral's name for it is "Bacteroidetes bacterium partial 16S ribosomal RNA". It matches the Rfam family "Bacterial small subunit ribosomal RNA", at positions 355 to 776 of the family's 1533-position model. Lineage: Bacteria; Pseudomonadati; Bacteroidota. The record is from RNAcentral.
UAGGGAAUCUUCGGCAAUGGUGGGAACCCUGACCGAGCAACGCCGCGUGAGUGAAGAAGGUUUUCGGAUCGUAAAGCUCUGUUGUUAAGGAAGAACGAGUGUGAGAAUGGAAAGUUCAUGCUGUGACGGUACUUAACCAGAAAGGGACGGCUAACUACGUGCCAGCAGCCGCGGUAAUACGUAGGUCCCGAGCGUUGUCCGGAUUUAUUGGGCGUAAAGCGAGCGCAGGCGGUUAGAUAAGUCUGAAGUUAAAGGCAGUGGCUCAACCAUUGUAGGCUUUGGAAACUGUUUAACUUGAGUGCAGAAGGGGAGAGUGGAAUUCCAUGUGUAGCGGUGAAAUGCGUAGAUAUAUGGAGGAACACCGGUGGCGAAAGCGGCUCUCUGGUCUGUAACUGACGCUGAGGCUCGAAAGCGUGGGGAGCGAACAGG